AGUUUUGCACAGGGGCAGUAUCGUAGCCAAUGAGGCUUGUCCAAGGCACGAUCAUUGCUAAUUGAAAACUUUUCCCAAUACCCUGCCGUGACGACUUAAAAUAUAGUCAGCCCUGGCAAUUUUUGACCGUCUCUACAGAGA
Molecule: small nuclear RNA, 141 nt
Organism: Artibeus jamaicensis (Jamaican fruit-eating bat)
Lineage: Eukaryota; Metazoa; Chordata; Mammalia; Chiroptera; Phyllostomidae
Product: U4 spliceosomal RNA
Exons: 1
Source: RefSeq, a predicted model, not a curated record